AAUUGCUUAACUAAUUUGUUUUCUUCCUAAUCGCUUUCCCAACUAACCUAAUUGCAUACAAUAACUAACAAAUCCAAACCAAUUCCAACAGAAAUAAAGGCUAUAUAAAGGAACCUUACUGCAUUUUCGGUGAGGAUGGAUGAUACAUUUCCGUUUUAGAUACUGCAUUUCUGUUUUGGAUGCUGCAUUUUUCUGUUCUGCAUUUCUGUUUUCACUUCUGCAUAACCUCAUGCUUCAUCCACGAAUCCUCCACAGUUUUUUCGUCCUCCACCCUUCCAAUUCCAAUCGGCUUCCAUUUCGAUCAUCUUCAUCUUCGGUUCACCAGAAGAACACCAGAAAAUCCACAAGAAGAAGAGUAACUCAUAACAGAAACGCAUAUGGUUGAGAAGAAGGAGAAGUGAAUCAAAAAGAAGGGGUUUCAUACCCGAGUGAAUUCGGUUUUGACCAUCUGAUACGGAUCGGGACUCUAUAAAAUAUAGUCUAUCGGAUACUUGACUGCAAAUGCGCAGUCUAAUCGUUUUAGUUUUAAAAGAUAUCGAACCCACAGGGACCGAUGGUCAAAUUAAUGUUAUCGAUGUUACUAUGUUUUAGCUAAGGAGAUGAUUUUUAGAGGUUUGGUUGAACAAAAAUUAGAUCUAAAAGAAAUUACGUUUUUAAGAAAAUAUUAAUAGAGGAAUUCGAUAAGUCACCGGUGUAUAUUUUAAGUACCAAAUAUCUUUAAGUAGAAAAUACUCAUUUAAAAAGCUUUAUCUCACACUCUCG
This 762-nucleotide long non-coding RNA is filed under the name Lathyrus oleraceus (garden pea). Its description in RNAcentral is "Pisum sativum (pea) long non-coding RNA (PSAT_LNC036852)". Lineage: Eukaryota; Viridiplantae; Streptophyta; Magnoliopsida; Fabales; Fabaceae. The record is from RNAcentral.